RNAcentral lists this long non-coding RNA (1324 nucleotides) under Anser brachyrhynchus (Pink-footed goose). RNAcentral's name for it is "lncRNA (ENSABRG00000017088.1)". Lineage: Eukaryota; Metazoa; Chordata; Aves; Anseriformes; Anatidae. The record is from RNAcentral.
GUCACAAUUCACAUAUUAUUUUUGUCAGCAGCAUGUUCAAACUACCAAGGCUCUUCUUCAAAAUCGCAGCUGUGAUAUCUACAAUAAAUGAACUACAGGAAAGCUGCAGUUAGGUCAUACUGCCUUGUCACUGCAGAUGAAACAAACGAUAAUAGCAUUACUGCAUACUGUUUCUGCAGCGUGUUUUGUUCACUAAAAGCAAUUGUAAUGAUUAAUGGUGUCACAAUAAUGUAUGCUGAAUGCCUUUCUUCCUGCUCUGGGUGAUUGGCUUAGGUAAGGAGCAUGAUGGGGUAGACCAAGCUCAGCUGGAGCAGUUUGGUCCCUGUUUUGUGGUGGGCAAGUACAGAGACAGGUGAUGGAAUUGGCUGGGAGGGGAGGACGGGAAAUUGGCUAGGACCAGGUGGUUUUUGGGGGCUAGAUGGGGAAGGGGAAGUUUUCUGAAUGAACCAGCUGGAAAAGCUAAGGCCAGUAUGCUGCUUUUCAGUGGGGAGGAAGAAAUGCUCCAGGCUAUCUAUGUACAAUUAUAUAUGUCUUUAUGAGUGGAAAGAGGAGUCUUCAGUUACUGAGUAUUGCUGUAGUUACCAGAGUCCUGGAAGACUGUCCUUGAUGACCAAGAUGUCCUUGAUGACACAUCUUUUUUGAAGGCUCAGACAGCACCGAGAACUGUAUUGCAGUGGACUUAAAAACAAGAUUUUUCACAGUGAAAUAAGUGGCAGCCAAGCAAGGGGAUGUCAGGACAGGACUGGAGGUAGGGUAGAAGAGGUAAACUCUAGGUGAGUGGUGCGUUGAUGCUUUCUGUUUGGAUGACUCCCUGCUGCUUUUCCUUGCUGCUUCUUCUGGAAACUAAUGCUUUCUCUCACCCUGUUUCUGGGAUGAGCUGGCUAUGAGGAGCAGAGAAAACCCUUCCAUGGGACAGGAGAGUUCAGUCUUUAUUUUCAUGGGGUUAGACAUGAGGGAUGCAGCUUGCUCUGGGUAUGGUCCCUGUGCUUGGGGCAGUCCUAGCACCACCUCAGCAGCUCCUGUGUCCUUGUGCCACUCCUCAGCAUUUUAGUUGUUAAAGUAAUUUUAUACUUCUUAGAGAAUGUUGCAGAAAGGUGGAAGAAAACUGCAAAGACCUGCAGUGGAUUUGGAGAAUCUAAAGACAUUUGAAAAUAAUUGAAUCAAAACACGACCACCUCAAGGUCCCUUCCUUAAAGGUUUUGUUAUUGAUCAUUUAUCUGAGAACUAGACACACAGAUGGCACUAAUCCCCUCCCGAAUGUAUACUGCAGUAUAAACGUUCCAUUCAAAUAAUAUAUUACAAUAAAUAACAUACAAUUUUCCCA